RNAcentral lists this ribosomal RNA (476 nucleotides) under Porphyromonas sp. oral taxon 279. RNAcentral's name for it is "bacterial SSU rRNA". It matches the Rfam family "Bacterial small subunit ribosomal RNA", at positions 28 to 489 of the family's 1533-position model. Lineage: Bacteria; Pseudomonadati; Bacteroidota; Bacteroidia; Bacteroidales; Porphyromonadaceae. The record is from RNAcentral.
GAUGAACGCUAGCGAUAGGCUUAACACAUGCAAGUCGAGGGGCAGCAUGGUCUUAGCUUGCUAAGACUGAUGGCGACCGGCGCACGGGUGCGUAACGCGUAUGCAACUUGCCUCACAGAGGGGGAUAACCCGUCGAAAGACGGACUAAUACCGCGUACACUCUAUGUUGGGCAUCCAAUGUAGAGGAAAUGAAAUUCGCUGUGAGAUAGGCAUGCGUCCCAUUAGCUAGUUGGUGAGGUAACGGCUCACCAAGGCGACGAUGGGUAGGGGAACUGAGAGGUUGAACCCCCACACUGGUACUGAGACACGGACCAGACUCCUACGGGAGGCAGCAGUGAGGAAUAUUGGUCAAUGGGCGAGAGCCUGAACCAGCCAAGUCGCGUGAAGGAUGACUGUCUUAUGGAUUGUAAACUUCUUUUAUACGGGAAUAACAAUGAUGUCAUCGUGUGACUGCCCUGCAUGUACCGUAUGAAUAA